This 236-nucleotide long non-coding RNA is filed under the name Homo sapiens (human). RNAcentral's name for it is "non-protein coding lnc-ATXN7-16:3". The record is from RNAcentral. Lineage: Eukaryota; Metazoa; Chordata; Mammalia; Primates; Hominidae.
GCACCCAAUUCCACCACAGAGUCGGGAUUUCGUCGGUGAUCGUGAUGGGUGCUUGGUGUGAAGGAAUUAAUUUGCAAGAUGAAUAACCAUUGUGAUAACUGCUCACAUGCAAAGGAGAGAGAUUGCUGAUUUUACAGAUCUGAACAGAAUUAAGACGAACGAGCUUUCACAAUUGCAGCAGAUGAAGAUCCAUUGGUAAAUUGAUCAGGAUUUUUGGCCUACCCUCCAAAGAAAAG